UGGUGUGGGAGGGGAGCACGGUGGUGGAUAUGGAGGUGGAGAAGAAGGCGGUGGUGGCGCGGGAUAUGCCAUUGGAGGUGGCUCCGGUGGCGGCGGAGGGCAUGGAGGCGGCUAUGCUCCUUAAGAACUGAAGCCUAUUUCUAGUAAUAAGGUGAUAGUAGACUUGUGUUGGAGACAAUGGAGGACUCCAUUGUCGUAUUAAUUUUAUUGUCGUAUUAAUUUUUUACUUGUUAGCUAUUUAAGGCUUUGUUGAGUGCUAGCUUGAGUGAAGCUAGAGCUAGUUGUUGGUGAAGUUGCA
This 298-nucleotide unclassified non-coding RNA is filed under the name Hevea brasiliensis (rubber tree). Lineage: Eukaryota; Viridiplantae; Streptophyta; Magnoliopsida; Malpighiales; Euphorbiaceae. The record is from RNAcentral.